This 1372-nucleotide ribosomal RNA is filed under the name uncultured bacterium. RNAcentral's name for it is "bacterial SSU rRNA". It matches the Rfam family "Bacterial small subunit ribosomal RNA", at positions 28 to 1381 of the family's 1533-position model. The record is from RNAcentral.
GAUGAACGCUGGCGGCGUGCCUAAUACAUGCAAGUCGAGCGAACGGACGAGAAGCUUGCUUCUCUGAUGUUAGCGGCGGACGGGUGAGUAACACGCGGAUAACCUACCUAUAAGACUGGGAUAACUUCGGGAAACCGGAGCUAAUACCGGAUAAUAUUUUGAACCGCAUGGUUCAAAAGUGAAAGACGGUCUUGCUGUCACUUAUAGAUGGAUCCGCGCUGCAUUAGCUAGUUGGUAAGGUAACGGCUUACCAAGGCAACGAUGCAUAGCCGACCUGAGAGGGUGAUCGGCCACACUGGAACUGAGACACGGUCCAGACUCCUACGGGAGGCAGCAGUAGGGAAUCUUCCGCAAUGGGCGAAAGCCUGACGGAGCAACGCCGCGUGAGUGAUGAAGGUCUUCGGAUCGUAAAACUCUGUUAUUAGGGAAGAACAUAUGUGUAAGUAACUGUGCACAUCUUGACGGUACCUAAUCAGAAAGCCACGGCUAACUACGUGCCAGCAGCCGCGGUAAUACGUAGGUGGCAAGCGUUAUCCGGAAUUAUUGGGCGUAAAGCGCGCGUAGGCGGUUUUUUAAGUCUGAUGUGAAAGCCCACGGCUCAACCGUGGAGGGUCAUUGGAAACUGGAAAACUUGAGUGCAGAAGAGGAAAGUGGAAUUCCAUGUGUAGCGGUGAAAUGCGCAGAGAUAUGGAGGAACACCAGUGGCGAAGGCGACUUUCUGGUCUGUAACUGACGCUGAUGUGCGAAAGCGUGGGGAUCAAACAGGAUUAGAUACCCUGGUAGUCCACGCCGUAAACGAUGAGUGCUAAGUGUUAGGGGGUUUCCGCCCCUUAGUGCUGCAGCUAACGCAUUAAGCACUCCGCCUGGGGAGUACGACCGCAAGGUUGAAACUCAAAGGAAUUGACGGGGACCCGCACAAGCGGUGGAGCAUGUGGUUUAAUUCGAAGCAACGCGAAGAACCUUACCAAAUCUUGACAUCCUUUGACAACUCUAGAGAUAGAGCUUUCCCCUUCGGGGGACAAAGUGACAGGUGGUGCAUGGUUGUCGUCAGCUCGUGUCGUGAGAUGUUGGGUUAAGUCCCGCAACGAGCGCAACCCUUAAGCUUAGUUGCCAUCAUUAAGUUGGGCACUCUAAGUUGACUGCCGGUGACAAACCGGAGGAAGGUGGGGAUGACGUCAAAUCAUCAUGCCCCUUAUGAUUUGGGCUACACACGUGCUACAAUGGACAAUACAAAGGGCAGCGAAACCGUGAGGUCAAGCAAAUCCCAUAAAGUUGUUCUCAGUUCGGAUUGUAGUCUGCAACUCGACUACAUGAAGCUGGAAUCGCUAGUAAUCGUAGAUCAGCAUGCUACGGUGAAUACGUUCCCGGGUCU